GACGAACGCUGGCGGCGUGCUUAACACAUGCAAGUCGAACGGAAAGGCCCUGCUUUUGUGGGGUGCUCGAGUGGCGAACGGGUGAGUAACACGUGAGUAGCCUGCCCUUGACUUUGGGAUAACUUCAGGAAACUGGGGCUAAUACCGGAUAGGAGCUCCUGCUGCAUGGUGGGGGUUGGAAAGUUUCGGCGGUUGGGGAUGGACUCGCGGCUUAUCAGCUUGUUGGUGGGGUAGUGGCUUACCAAGGCUUUGACGGGUAGCCGGCCUGAGAGGGUGACCGGCCACAUUGGGACUGAGAUACGGCCCAGACUCCUACGGGAGGCAGCAGUGGGGAAUAUUGCACAAUGGGCGGAAGCCUGAUGCAGCAACGCCGCGUGCGGGAUGACGGCCUUCGGGUUGUAAACCGCUUUCGCCUGUGGCGAAGCGUGAGUGACGGUAAUGGGUAAAGAAGCACCGGCUAACUACGUG
Molecule: ribosomal RNA, 468 nt
Filed under: uncultured bacterium
Lineage: Bacteria
Description: partial 16S ribosomal RNA
Rfam family: Bacterial small subunit ribosomal RNA
Source: RNAcentral